This 584-nucleotide ribosomal RNA is filed under the name uncultured bacterium. RNAcentral describes it as "partial 16S ribosomal RNA". It matches the Rfam family "Bacterial small subunit ribosomal RNA", at positions 355 to 1375 of the family's 1533-position model. The record is from RNAcentral.
UGGGGAAUUUUGGACAAUGGGCGAAAGCCUGAUCCAGCAAUGCCGCGUGUGUGAAGAAGGCCUUCGGGUUGUAAAGCACUUUUGUCCGGAAAGAAAUCCUUGGCUCUAAUACAGUCGGGGGAUGACGGUACCGGAAGAAUAAGCACCGGCUAACUACGUGCCAGCAGCCGCGGUAAUACGUAGGGUGCAAGCGUUAAUCGGAAUUACUGGGCGUAAAGCGUGCGCAGGCGGUUCGCUAAGACCGAUGUGAAAUCCCCGGGCUCAACCUGGGAACUGCAUUGGUGACUGGCAGGCUAGAGUAUGGCAGAGGGGGGUAGAAUUCCACGUGUAGCAGUGAAAUGCGUAGAGAUGUGGAGGAAUACCGAUGGCGAAGGCAGCCCCCUGGGCCAAUACUGACGCUCAUGCACGAAAGCGUGGGGAGCAAACAGGAUUAGAUACCCUGGUAGUCCACGCCCUAAACGAUGUCAACUAGUUGUUGGGGAUUCAUUCCUUAGUAACGUAGCUAACGCGUGAAGUUGACCGCCUGGGGAGUACGGUCGCAAGAUUAAAACUCAAAUGAAUUGACGGGGUCAUAGCUGUUUCCU